This 405-nucleotide ribosomal RNA is filed under the name uncultured bacterium. Its description in RNAcentral is "partial 16S ribosomal RNA". It matches the Rfam family "Bacterial small subunit ribosomal RNA", at positions 30 to 526 of the family's 1533-position model. The record is from RNAcentral.
AUUGAACGCUGGCGGCAGGCUUAACACAUGCAAGUCGAACGAGUGGCGGACGGGUGAGUAAUGCAUGGGCAUCUAGCUUAUGGAGGGGGAUAACUACGGGAAACUGUAGCUAAUACCGCCUACCAUAGGCUGAGCCCAAGUGGGAUUAGGUAGUUGGUGAGGUAAAGGCUCACCAAGCCGACGAUCUCUAGCUGGUCUGAGAGGAUGACCAGCCACACUGGGACUGAGACACGGCCCAGACUCCUACGGGAGGCAGCAGUGGGGAAUAUUGCACAAUGGGCGCAAGCUGAUGCAGCCAUGCCGCGUGUAUGAAGAAGGCCUUAGGGUUGUAAAGUUCUUUCGGUAGCGAGGCGUUAACUACAGAAGAAGCACCGGCUAACUCCGUGCCAGCAGCCGCGGUAAUAC